Molecule: ribosomal RNA, 253 nt
Filed under: uncultured bacterium
Lineage: Bacteria
Description: partial 16S ribosomal RNA
Rfam family: Bacterial small subunit ribosomal RNA
Source: RNAcentral
UACGGAGGAUGCGAGCGUUAUCCGGAUUUAUUGGGUGUAAAGGGCGUGUAGGCGGGAGCGCAAGUCAGAUGUGAAAACUCAGGGCUCAACCCUGAGCCUGCAUUUGAAACUGUGUUUCUUGAGUGCUGGAGAGGCAAUCGGAAUUCCAUGUGUAGCGGUGAAAUGCGUAGAUAUAUGGAGGAACACCGGUGGCGAAAGCGGCUCUCUGGCCUGUAACUGACACUGAGGCUCGAAAGCGUGGGGAGCAAACAGG